AAGCAGAUCCAGAACGCCAUGGCUACCAAACAUGACCUGCCGCAAAGCCUGUCUAAGAACAUUUUUGGCAGCUGGAAAUGUUCCUGCCUACCAGUCUGUCACAGACGGCAUGUGCCAUGGGCUACCAGCACUGAGCAACUCUCUCAGGAAGAGCAUUUUUGCCUCACAGCUCAGCCUGCCCCAGCCACUGGAUCCACGGAGCCUCCAGGCAUUUGAGCUGUUUCCUUGGAGAGCAUUUCUGGAAGAUGGAGGACCAUUCCCAGUUAUGAGUAACAGCCCAGAUACCCUAGAAUAUAAUAUGCAGGUAGGAUAGGUCUUCUCCAUUGUUGCAGAGAGAACUGAGCGCAGACUGCAAAGAUGGUUGCCAUUGGGUUCACAGGUCAGAUCCUCCUACUCUCACCCACGAUGAAUAAUGUGUGAGAUAAGCAGGGUGUUUGAUUUUGAGGCUGUAAACCCAGGGUCACGAGCUGUGCCUCUGUGGGCUGAGUGACCGUGACCGCAAGGUGGCUCAUGGAGAACUGGUGGGUGUGCAACUGCUACUGGAAGAUGUUCUGAGUAGCUAUCAUGUGACCAUGGAGGCCCCCCAAAGACAGCAAGCCACACUGGGCAAAAAUACACAGCCAGAUUGGUCCAAAGUGCCAGGAUUCAGAAGUCAGUUCCGAAGCAGCCCAAAGACCUCUGAGCUGCUGGAGGGCCUGUGCGAUGCGGUGAUGUCCUUUGCUUUGCUGAGAUCAUUUCUGAUACUGUGGAAGCAGCUGGAAGUGCUAAAGGAGCACUGGGGCCGACUCAAGCUGCAAGGCCAGGAUAUCAACUCUGUCUCUCUCCACAAACGGUUUUCAGAGCUCUAUGAAACUGACGUUCUCUACCCCAGCAUGAAAGCUAUAGCCAGGCAGAUGGGGAAAGAAGAUGAAUUUGAAGGAUUUAUAGUAAAUAAUCAGUCUGUUCUUCCCCCCAGUGGAGCCUCAGAAGUUGAAAUAAAAACUCACCAAGUAUGCAGGAUAUAUUUUAAAUUUGCCUUUGAAAAUGUCCUUUAUGGCAUUAGCAUGUAAAACUACAGGCAUACCCAAAUGGUAUUUUUUCCAAGAAGCUGAGUGUAAAUUGCAGGGUUGUAAAUCAUUGAAUGGGCUGGAGGGAGGGCAGGACUAAGUAUUUAAAGCCAUGUGGUGCUUCGAUGAAGCAAAUUACUACCCUUAAUGUCCCUGUUCUAUAAGUCUGGAUUUUUAUCAUUUUGAUUUUCCUCAAAUUGAUGUGUACCUUCAUAAGAAUGAUCAUAGAAAACAUAACCACUAUCUUAAGCAUAAAAUUUAGCAUGCAAGUAUUCACAUGGAAAUGAAAUAUUUGUAAAAGCUCCCUGUAAUUGUUUUUCUGAGAAUAAGAAAAUGCCCAUUUGGUAUGUGUAAGAUGA
This is a long non-coding RNA of Homo sapiens (human), 1405 nucleotides long. The record is from Ensembl. NCBI's taxonomy places the organism in Eukaryota, Metazoa, Chordata, Mammalia, Primates, Hominidae.